GAGAAUUAGAGCCAGCAUUAGAGAGUGAGCUCCCCAUAAGUGGGAGCUAGAGCCGGGGAAGAUAGUGAGCCCCCCUUUUGUAGAAUGAGAAUUAGAGCCAGCAUUAGAGAGUGAGCUCCCCAUAAGUGGGAGCUAGAGCUGGGGAAGAUGGGACCACGUUCUGGGAGGCCACCGGUCUGUGGUCUCCGUCCCGGAGGGAUGGGCCCCCGCCCCUGCUCCCAGCCCGGGCACCAGGAGGGGAACCGGAAGCCGGCACAAGGCGGACCACAUGAAUCGCACAAUCUCAGAGAUGGCUGAGGCCUCGAAGGGCGACUAUCCUACCCUGGGUCUGAACAGUUCCCCCGGCAGCGCCCCCGACUAUACGAGCCCCCCGCAUGAGUAGAGGAUUCUGGGGCCGGGUUUAGCAGGGACACCUUCCCAAUGGUGGCUUCUUCAAAUGGGGAGGGGAAACGGAUUCCCGUCGCCCGGUCCUACCAUCCAGAGGAAGGCUAAGGGCCCUGAGCCCGCAGGCACUGCCCACUGCCCACCCUGGGUUCUGCCAUCCCGGGGGGGAGGGCCCCUUGGCCCACAGUCCAUUCUGCACAGGGGCCCGAGGGGGGUCCCACAACAAACCCUCCCCCAGCAACCCCGGUCUCGGGGUCAUCCCGGCCGGGGGGGGGGAGGGGCGAAGGCCCCAGCAGUUUCGCACUCCAGAGAGGGGGGGGGCGGGGAAGGGUUCCCUGGGCGGCCGUGGGUUUCCCCCGGGGCCGGCGGCGGGGCGGGCGCCCUCGGCGGCGGCGGGUCGAGGGCAGCGGCCGGGCCAUGGCCACCAUCCAGUCUGAAACCGACUGCUAUGACAUCAUCGAGGUCCUGGGUAAGGGGACCUUUGGUGAGGUGGCGAAGGGCUCGCCCGGGCCCGAGGGGGGGGGCCAUCAAGAUCCUAAGAAGGAAGCACUGCGAUCAUCGACAGGGAAGUGCUCCGCUGCAUGCGGGGCCUGGACCCUGACGAGGCCCACAUCAUCCGCUUCCUCGAGUUCUUCCACGAUGCCCUCAAGUUUUACCUGGUCUUCGAGCUGCUGGAGCAGAACCUUUUUGAGUUCCAAAAGGAGAACAAUUUCCC
This 1099-nucleotide long non-coding RNA is filed under the name Sarcophilus harrisii (Tasmanian devil). RNAcentral's name for it is "lncRNA (ENSSHAG00000028908.1)". Lineage: Eukaryota; Metazoa; Chordata; Mammalia; Dasyuromorphia; Dasyuridae. The record is from RNAcentral.